GUGAGGAAUAUUGGACAAUGGGCGCAAGCCUGAUCCAGCCAUGCCGCGUGCAGGAAGACGCAUCUAUGGUGUGUAAACUGCUUUUGUACGGGAAGAAACACUCCCUCGUGAGGGAGCUUGACGGUACCGUAAGAAUAAGGAUCGGCUAACUCCGUGCCAGCAGCCGCGGUAAUACGGAGGAUCCAAGCGUUAUCCGGAAUCAUUGGGUUUAAAGGGUCCGUAGGCGGUUUAAUAAGUCAGUGGUGAAAGCCCAGCGCUCAACGAUGGAACGGCCAUUGAUACUGUUAGACUUGAAUUACAAGGAAGUAACUAGAAUAUGUAGUGUAGCGGUGAAAUGCUUAGAUAUUACAUGGAAUACCAAUUGCGAAGGCAGGUUACUACUUGUGGAUUGACGCUGAUGGACGAAAGCGUGGGGAGCGAACAGGAUUAGAAACCCUUGUAGUCA
RNAcentral lists this ribosomal RNA (445 nucleotides) under uncultured bacterium. Its description in RNAcentral is "partial 16S ribosomal RNA". It matches the Rfam family "Bacterial small subunit ribosomal RNA", at positions 354 to 796 of the family's 1533-position model. The record is from RNAcentral.